Molecule: ribosomal RNA, 1414 nt
Filed under: Lactiplantibacillus plantarum
Lineage: Bacteria; Bacillati; Bacillota; Bacilli; Lactobacillales; Lactobacillaceae
Description: bacterial SSU rRNA
Rfam family: Bacterial small subunit ribosomal RNA
Source: RNAcentral
AGUCGAACGAACUCUGGUAUUGAUUGGUGCUUGCAUCAUGAUUUACAUUUGAGUGAGUGGCGAACUGGUGAGUAACACGUGGGAAACCUGCCCAGAAGCGGGGGAUAACACCUGGAAACAGAUGCUAAUACCGCAUAACAACUUGGACCGCAUGGUCCGAGUUUGAAAGAUGGCUUCGGCUAUCACUUUUGGAUGGUCCCGCGGCGUAUUAGCUAGAUGGUGAGGUAACGGCUCACCAUGGCAAUGAUACGUAGCCGACCUGAGAGGGUAAUCGGCCACAUUGGGACUGAGACACGGCCCAAACUCCUACGGGAGGCAGCAGUAGGGAAUCUUCCACAAUGGACGAAAGUCUGAUGGAGCAACGCCGCGUGAGUGAAGAAGGGUUUCGGCUCGUAAAACUCUGUUGUUAAAGAAGAACAUAUCUGAGAGUAACUGUUCAGGUAUUGACGGUAUUUAACCAGAAAGCCACGGCUAACUACGUGCCAGCAGCCGCGGUAAUACGUAGGUGGCAAGCGUUGUCCGGAUUUAUUGGGCGUAAAGCGAGCGCAGGCGGUUUUUUAAGUCUGAUGUGAAAGCCUUCGGCUCAACCGAAGAAGUGCAUCGGAAACUGGGAAACUUGAGUGCAGAAGAGGACAGUGGAACUCCAUGUGUAGCGGUGAAAUGCGUAGAUAUAUGGAAGAACACCAGUGGCGAAGGCGGCUGUCUGGUCUGUAACUGACGCUGAGGCUCGAAAGUAUGGGUAGCAAACAGGAUUAGAUACCCUGGUAGUCCAUACCGUAAACGAUGAAUGCUAAGUGUUGGAGGGUUUCCGCCCUUCAGUGCUGCAGCUAACGCAUUAAGCAUUCCGCCUGGGGAGUACGGCCGCAAGGCUGAAACUCAAAGGAAUUGACGGGGGCCCGCACAAGCGGUGGAGCAUGUGGUUUAAUUCGAAGCUACGCGAAGAACCUUACCAGGUCUUGACAUACUAUGCAAAUCUAAGAGAUUAGACGUUCCCUUCGGGGACAUGGAUACAGGUGGUGCAUGGUUGUCGUCAGCUCGUGUCGUGAGAUGUUGGGUUAAGUCCCGCAACGAGCGCAACCCUUAUUAUCAGUUGCCAGCAUUAAGUUGGGCACUCUGGUGAGACUGCCGGUGACAAACCGGAGGAAGGUGGGGAUGACGUCAAAUCAUCAUGCCCCUUAUGACCUGGGCUACACACGUGCUACAAUGGAUGGUACAACGAGUUGCGAACUCGCGAGAGUAAGCUAAUCUCUUAAAGCCAUUCUCAGUUCGGAUUGUAGGCUGCAACUCGCCUACAUGAAGUCGGAAUCGCUAGUAAUCGCGGAUCAGCAUGCCGCGGUGAAUACGUUCCCGGGCCUUGUACACACCGCCCGUCACACCAUGAGAGUUUGUAACACCCAAAGUCGGUGGGGUAACC